GUGCUUGCUUCGGCAGCACAUGUACUAAAAUUGCAACGAUACAGAGACGAUUAGCAUGGCCCUGUGCAAAGAUGACAUGCAAAUUUGUGAAGCAUCACAUUAAAAA
Molecule: small nuclear RNA, 106 nt
Organism: Gorilla gorilla gorilla (western lowland gorilla)
Lineage: Eukaryota; Metazoa; Chordata; Mammalia; Primates; Hominidae
Source: Ensembl